GACAAUUGAAUAAAAAGCACUCAUAUAAUCUCGAGAAUAUGGCUCGAGAGUCUCUACCGAACAACCGUAAAUUGUUCGACUAUGAGUGAAAGUGUACCUAGG
Molecule: regulatory RNA element, 102 nt
Organism: Thermoanaerobacter pseudethanolicus ATCC 33223
Lineage: Bacteria; Bacillati; Bacillota; Clostridia; Thermoanaerobacterales; Thermoanaerobacteraceae
Rfam family: Purine riboswitch aptamer
About the family: Riboswitches are metabolite binding domains within certain messenger RNAs that serve as precision sensors for their corresponding targets.
Source: Rfam